RNAcentral lists this ribosomal RNA (496 nucleotides) under uncultured bacterium. RNAcentral's name for it is "partial 16S ribosomal RNA". It matches the Rfam family "Bacterial small subunit ribosomal RNA", at positions 29 to 507 of the family's 1533-position model. The record is from RNAcentral.
AUGCACGCUGGCGGCGUGCCUCAUACAUUCAAGUCGAGCGCACAGAUGAGGAGCUUGCUCCUCUGACGUUAGCGGCGGACGGGUGAGUAACACGUGGAUAACCUACCUAUAAGACUGGGAUAACUUCGGGAAACCGGAGCUAAUACCGGAUAAUAUAUUGAACCGCAUGGUUCAAUAGUGAAAGACGGUUUUGCUGUCACUUAUAGAUGGAUCCGCGCCGCAUUAGCUAGUUGGUAAGGUAACGGCUUACCAAGGCGACGAUGCGUAGCCGACCUGAGAGGGUGAUCGGCCACACUGGAACUGAGACACGGUCCAGACUCCUACGGGAGGCAGCAGUAGGGAAUCUUCCGCAAUGGGCGAAAGCCUGACGGAGCAACGCCGCGUGAGUGAUGAAGGUCUUCGGAUCGUAAAACUCUGUUAUUAGGGAAGAACAAAUGUGUAAGUAACUAUGCACGUCUUGACGGUACCUAAUCAGAAAGCCACGGCUAACUACGUG